ACUGAAUAUCCAUGGGGUAACCAUGAUAACAGUCUGAUGUGUUAGGCAAGUGGAAAAAAAUAUGUUUACAUCAGUCAGUGUCCCACAGGCUGCUGUAGGCCCAGUAUUGAUACGGGAGUUGAGAUGUCCUACAAUAAUCUCACAGCUUUAUGAUAUCCCUCAUAUUUUGUGCCGUUUUUUAUCCAUAUACAGGGCUUCGAAAGAACAUUUGAAGAUUCCAUUUCAGUAUGUUAUGCCCACUUUGAAAUGAAUUUAUCAUCACAGAGGGAUGACGGUGGAAACAGUGGGGAAUCACAAGAGGAAAGCCAAUAGCUACACUCUUGAUCCAUCACUGUACAACAGCAGCCUCAAGAGAGAUGCCUAAACAGAUGUUCACACAGACCUUUAGAAACGUCAGUAGAGUAUCCUACACCUGACCUUCUAUGAACCAGGAUGUAACAAUCCUCCUGGUUUCGACCCUUGCCUGUCCUGACUCCGUACCUACCUGCCUGACCACUCUGCCUGUUCUGACUACCAGCCUGCCUAUCCACUUGUACUGUUUCGGACUCAGAUCUGGUUUCUGACCUCUGCCUGGCCUGCCCUCGAGACUGCCUAUCGUCUGGUACUGUUUGGACUCUGACCUGGUUUAUAAACUCUCGCCUGUCCCCGACCUGCCUUUGCCUCCU
Molecule: long non-coding RNA, 665 nt
Organism: Oncorhynchus keta (chum salmon)
Lineage: Eukaryota; Metazoa; Chordata; Actinopteri; Salmoniformes; Salmonidae
Exons: 3
Source: RefSeq, a predicted model, not a curated record